RNAcentral lists this long non-coding RNA (1029 nucleotides) under Cricetulus griseus (Chinese hamster). RNAcentral's name for it is "lncRNA (ENSCGRG00015029385.1)". The record is from RNAcentral. Lineage: Eukaryota; Metazoa; Chordata; Mammalia; Rodentia; Cricetidae.
GGAAGAAGAAGAAGAAGAAGAAGAAGAAGAAGAAGAAGAAGAAGAAGAAGAAGAAGAAGAAGAAGAGGCAGCAGCAGCAGCAGCAAUAGUAGCGUGCAGUUGCUAAGUGAUGGGGUUCCUUAAAUCAAGCUGCCGGGAUGGAAUGGGAAUGCUCAGCUACAUGACUCCACGCUUCUUGGCAGGUCUAGGCAUUUACAGAUUUCACAGCAGUCCGUGCUGUGCUUGUGAACAACUAGGACAUGUUGACAGUCUUAGUUGAAGUAGCCUAGCAGAUCUUGUGGAUGUGCAAACUGACAACUUCACUUUGGAACACUGUCACACACUUUGGCCAACUUACACAAGACCAUGCCACCUUUCCUGCAGCUAGUCUGAGCAGCAGGUUGUCCAACUUGGAUAUUAGUCCCCUGAGUAGAUAGAUGAGUGAGACAUUUGAAGUCUUAACCUAGUUGUAUAUUUUCUUGCUGAGGGUAAAGUUGAGCAUUAAAAACAAAAUCUGUUUGAGGGCUUAUGGUAGUUUGACUAAGAUGUCCUCCAUAGUCUUCAGCAUGGGAACACUUGGUCCAUAGUUAGUGGUCUUGCAUGGGAAGUCUUAAAAGGUGUGGUCUUGCUGGAAGAAGUGUAUCACUGGAGAUGGACCUUGAGAGCUUAAAGACUUGCACCAUUCCCAGUUCAUCUCUCUGCUUCUUGCCUGUGGUUCAAGGUAUGAGCCCCCAGCUUUCUGUUCCUGCUGCCAUUUCUUUGUUCCACCAUCAUAGACUAAUCCUCUGCAACUGCAUCCCAAAUAAACCCUUCCUUCCUUAAGUUGCCUUGGUCGUGGCAUUUUAUUGAAGCAACAGAAAGUAACUGAUACAGAAACUGGUAGCAGCAAUGGUACUAUUGCUAUGACAGACCUCACUGUGCUGCUUUUAGGGGAGUGUGGAAGAUGCUGGGUCUCUGGACUAGAAAAGCAGGGCCUAAUGGAACAUCCUAGUAGAAGCCUGGGAGACAGUGCUAGAACAAUUUGGACUGUGGAGACUCAGUUCAAGGGAG